Molecule: long non-coding RNA, 3129 nt
Organism: Pogona vitticeps (central bearded dragon)
Lineage: Eukaryota; Metazoa; Chordata; Lepidosauria; Squamata; Agamidae
Source: Ensembl
GCCAUCCUGGCCCUGUGAUCCUGUGGUCUGAGUUAUUCUUUCUUUUCCCCCUUCCCCCUCCAGGGCCCUGUGACGUUUGAGGAUGUGGUCAUCUAUUUCACAGAAGCAGAGUGGGCUCUCCUAACCUGGACGCAACGAGCCCUCUACAAGGAGGUCAUGCAGGAGAACUACCAGAAUGUGAUGUCGCUGGGUGAGGACCCACUCUCUUCUCUCACUGGGGGCGGCUCUUUCUUGGCAUGGAAACCCCUGUGGCAUUGCUCCAUCCCAGGGCAGGGCCUUGGUAUUCCCCCUCCCUUUUGGACUACAACUCCCAGAAUCUACUAGCCAUGAUUCUGUGGUUACAGCGGGCAGAGGUCAUGUUUCCAAGCUUCUAGCGGAGAACCUUGGGCGUUCUAAGCGGAACCUUUGCUUUGGCCCCUCCCACACCCUCCUCCUUUGUGAGAGGCGGAACACUGCUCCCUGGGGGAGGAGCUUCAGCAUUGACUCCUCCCAUCAUGGGCAGAGCUUCUGGUGUCACUCUGGUGAUGUGAGAGGAAGUCAUUGUACAGGGCCAAGGGUAUCCAUGUCCCAUUCUCCACCACCACCACCACCUUUGCGUGCUUCCCGUUCUUUAGACGAGCAGCCCUGACAUUGUGAGCUGUAGCUGUUUUGCCAAAUCCCAGUGGUGGAUGUAUGCAUAUCCCUGGAAGGAGUACUGUACAGUGAUGCCUCGCAAGACGAAUGCCUCGCGGGACGAAAAACCCACAAGAUGAAUGUUUUUUGCUAUCACAAUGGUGCCUCACAAGACGGCUUCUUCUAUGGCCGUGCUCCGCAAGACUUUUUUUGUGAGACCGAUGCCUCGCAAGGCGAAAAAAUUUAAUUCGUCUUGCGGGGUUCCCGUAGGAAUGCAUUGCAAUGCAUUCCUAUGGGAAAUCGUUUUUUGGAAGACAGCACUUCUUGCGGAACAAAUUAUAUUCAUCUUGCGAGGCACCACUGUAUUUGUAAAGCAUGAUCCUUGGAGGCACGUCCCCCAUCUCCCAGGCUCCCACCGCCACGGCAAAGGACACCCAGGAAUCCCAGAGGCAGAGGGCCAAAUUUUGGAGCAAAGAAGAGAUCGGGUUGUUUGUUGACCUCUGGAUCAGCCCAGAGGUGCAAAAUGAACUUCGGAAUAUGUACCACAAUGAGGCGGUCUUUAACUGGCUCUCCACGGAAAUGGGCCUGCGGGGUUACAACCGGUCGGCCCGCCAGUGUCGCGAGAAGAUGAACGCCUUGAAGAAGAAAUAUAAGGAAGUCACCAUCCAGAGUAAGGGCUCCGGGGUCGACCUGAGUGCCAUGCCCUACUAUAAUAAACUAGCCAUGAUCCUGGAGAAAAGAGAUGCCACCCCCAGGUCUGCAGGAGGCAGUAGCGGCCCGGAAAAGGGUCAGUGGCAGAGACAGACGUCACUGACGCUGGCCAGGCAGGCCUCGCCGCUCACUCUUGGGACGUCUGGACAAGCGGCGAGGCCGUCUCUCACCACCACCCCUGUUCUGAAGACGGCACUGACCGGUCCCCAAGGAAAGCCACCCCCUCAGAAGCAGCCGCGCCUUCUCCAGGAGACGUUCAUGCGCUCUCAGGCUGGCGCAGGGUCCCCUACUCCCUCCCACGAGCUCCUUUCCCAGCCUGGCGGGAGCGUGGCGGCCCAGAAUCAUGGACUGGCUUCCUCUAAGCAAGGAGCCCACCAGCGGCCGGCGCUGACUCCCAAAAUCAAGGAAGAAGAACCGCAGGAAGACGACGCCAACUGCAUCUCCAGCGUGCUCCAGAGCGCCCUCCUGCCCGUGGAAGUCCGGGUGGUGGAUGAGAACGGGCUCACCAUCGCGUCGGUCGAGUGCAAGCAAGAGAAACAGGAGGAGGAUGGGCUGGAUCGGGCCACCGAUCUCGGACUCGAUUUUGAGGACAAGCUUAUAAGAAAUAUUGUGGCGGACGGCGACCCUCCGGAGGUAACGUCGAUCCAGGUCGACCCAAACGGGCUUCCAGAGUUGUCGGAAGAACUGUACGGUGGGGCCGAAGGGGCUGAGGACAUGCCCACGGAUUUGCUCCAGUCUUUGGACGAUCGGUUCUCCGGCUACCAAGGCCAAGAAGACAGCAAUCUGGACCGCGAGAAAAUAGAACAAGAGCGCCCGUUAUCUAGGCCUUUGUCCGCAGCUGAAAGUCUCAUACAGGAGCAGGAGCGCAAAGCCCUUGAAAACGCAGACGCCGCCUCGAUCCUCCUGGACAUUGUGGGCUGUAAGGAUCCUAACUCAGGUGCCGAUGGGGGCCUUGGUGGGGUGGACGAGCCACCGCUGAGCCACGUUCUGCCCCCCGGAGACCUGGAGGGAGACGCGCCGUUGACCAGCGCGCAGAGGGCGGCCAGGUUCAGAAACAAGAGGAAAAUAGAGCGCGCGCAGCUGGCGAAGGACCUCAUUAAAGCCACCAAGGAGACCGGGGAGCAAAUCCGCGACGCCCUUUAUGAGCUGGACAGCAAGGAAUCUCAGCGCCGGGUGGACGACCGCCGGGUGGCCGUCUGGUGCGCCAGGCACAUCGCGAAAAGCAUCAGGGACUCCAGCCAAACCAUGGCCUCCGCCAUGCGCGACUCGGACGUGGCCUUCCAGCGCUGCAUGGAGAGCUACACGGCCGCUCUGGAACGACAAACGACUCUGUUGGAGCGCAUUGUGGACACGCUCACGGGGCGGGCGGCGCCUCCGAACGCUCCCGGCGAGGAGACCUUAGGGGCGUCCGUACCCAACAGUCCUCCGCCUGCGCCUUCUCAGAUCCUUUGCGUUCCCCAGGAACCUCCCCUGGCUGAGAAGACAGUCUGAGGAGGAGAAAAAAGAGCCAUCUUAAGGUUGCAGGAUCAGACCAAAGUAGUAGAGCAGGACUUGGAAAAACGGACAUGUGGCCCUCCAGACCGUCUUGGGAUGGCAAUUCCCGCGGCUAUUUUUUUCCUCCUUUUUUUUCUAUUCUUACUGGUGUGUUUUUAAAUUCUUACGCUUUUUAUUCAUUUUACAUUUCACUAGUGUUUUCUCCAGUUUUAUUUUAUUGCAAGCUGCCUUUUGAGUCCCACUUGUCGGAGAGAAAGGCAGGGUAGAAAUGGACUCAAUAAAGUCCUUCCCAUCAGCUGAUGUCGGUUAGGG